Molecule: non-coding RNA, 54 nt
Organism: Salmo salar (Atlantic salmon)
Lineage: Eukaryota; Metazoa; Chordata; Actinopteri; Salmoniformes; Salmonidae
Source: Rfam
UGCAUUCACUACUGUAAGUUGCUCUGGAUAAGAGUGUCUGCUAAAUUACUAAAA